Molecule: ribosomal RNA, 253 nt
Filed under: uncultured bacterium
Lineage: Bacteria
Description: partial 16S ribosomal RNA
Rfam family: Bacterial small subunit ribosomal RNA
Source: RNAcentral
UACGUAGGGGGCAAGCGUUGUCCGGAUUUAUUGGGCGUAAAGAGCGUGUAGGCGGCCAGGUAGGUCCGUUGUGAAAACUGGAGGCUUAACCUCCAGCUGUCGAUGGAAACCAUCUGGCUAGAGUCCGGAAGAGGAGAAUGGAAUUCCUGGUGUAGCGGUGAAAUGCGCAGAUAUCAGGAAGAACACCCGUGGCGAAGGCGGCUCUCUGGGACGGUACUGACGCUGAGACGCGAAAGCGUGGGGAGCGAACAGG